GAUGAACGCUGGCGGCGUGCCUAAUACAUGCAAGUCGAGCGAACAGACGAGGAGCUUGCUCCUCUGACGUUAGCGGCGGACGGGUGAGUAACACGUGGAUAACCUACCUAUAAGACUGGGAUAACUUCGGGAAACCGGAGCUAAUACCGGAUAAUAUCUUGAACCGCAUGGUUCAAUAGUGAAAGACGGUUUUGCUGUCACUUAUAGAUGGAUCCGCGCGGCUUUAGCUGGUUGGUGAGGUAACGGCUUACCAAGGCGACGAUGCGUGGCCGACCUGUGAGAGGGAUAGGCGACACUGGAGGUGAGACGGGGACCAGACGCCUACGAGAGGCAGCAGUAGGGAAUCGUACGCAGUGGUCGAGAGCCUGACAGAGCAACGGCGAGUGAGUGACGGAGGUCUUCGGAUCGUAAUACCCUGUUAUUAGGGAUAAACAAAUGUGUAAGGAACCAUGCAGGUCGUGACGGUACCUGGUCAGAAAGCCCCGGCUAACUACGUG
Molecule: ribosomal RNA, 497 nt
Filed under: uncultured bacterium
Lineage: Bacteria
Description: partial 16S ribosomal RNA
Rfam family: Bacterial small subunit ribosomal RNA
Source: RNAcentral